GAUUCUACCUUGGCGAUUCCUCCUUCUCUUGUUCCAUCUCUUCCUCAGCAUUACACUCGUCGUUCACGACCUGUGGAUGCUUCCUUGGAUGAGUCGUCCUCUUCCUCUCAGCCUACUUAUGGCUUGCGUUCUCGUCCUCGUCCGCCUAUUGAUCGCUUUGGAUUUCCCACCGCUGGUGCUGCUGUUCUUGAGCCGACUUCUUACCGUCAGGCUGUUGUUCAUCCUGAAUGGCAGUUUGCGAUGGCAGAGGAGAUUGCUGCUCUUGAACGCACUGGUACCUGGGAUCUUGUUUCUCUUCCUCCCGGAGUCCGUCCCAUCACUUGUAAGUGGGUCUACAAGGUUAAGACUCGCUCCGAUGGUUCUCUUGAGCGUCACAAAGCUCGUCUCGUGGCUCGUGGUUUUCAGCAGGAGCAUGGUCGUGAUUAUGACGAGACUUUUGCUCCUGUGGCCCAUAUGACCACUAUUCGUACACUUCUUGCUGUUGCCUCUGCACGCCACUGGUCUAUAUCUCAGCUUGAUGUUAAGAAUGCCUUUCUUAAUGGUGAGCUGCGUGAGGAGGUGUACAUGCAGCCACCACCUGGGUAUUCUGUUCCUGAUGGCAUGGUGUGUCGUCUUCGUCGCUCUCUCUAUGGCCUUAAGCAAGCCCCUCGCGCCUGGUUUGAGCGUUUUGCUUCUGUGGUCACUACUGCUGGUUUUUCAGCAAGUGCUCAUGAUCCCGCAUUGUUUAUUCACCUUUCUCCUCAUGGCCGGACUCUUCUUCUUCUCUAUGUUGAUGAUAUGGUCAUCACUGGGGAUGACCCCGAGUAUAUUGCCUUUGUAAAGGCCCGUCUUAGUGAGCAGUUUCUUAUGUCUGAUCUUGGACCUCUUCGCUAUUUUCUUGGGAUUGAAGUCUCU
Molecule: ribosomal RNA, 894 nt
Filed under: Triticum aestivum (bread wheat)
Lineage: Eukaryota; Viridiplantae; Streptophyta; Magnoliopsida; Poales; Poaceae
Description: partial small subunit ribosomal RNA
Source: RNAcentral